GCCGUGGUAGCCAAGUUGGUCAAGGCGAACGACUGAAAAUCGUUUCAUCUCAGUUCGAUUCUGAGCCACGGCA
Molecule: transfer RNA, 73 nt
Filed under: bacterium
Lineage: Bacteria
Description: tRNA-Phe
Rfam family: tRNA
About the family: Transfer RNA (tRNA) molecules are approximately 80 nucleotides in length. Their secondary structure includes four short double-helical elements and three loops (D, anti-codon, and T loops). Further hydrogen bonds mediate the characteristic L-shaped molecular structure. tRNAs have two regions of fundamental functional importance: the anti-codon, which is responsible for specific mRNA codon recognition, and the 3' end, to which the tRNAs corresponding amino acid is attached (by aminoacyl-tRNA synthetases). tRNAs cope with the degeneracy of the genetic code in two manners: having more than one tRNA (with a specific anti-codon) for a particular amino acid; and 'wobble' base-pairing, i.e. permitting non-standard base-pairing at the 3rd anti-codon position.
Source: RNAcentral